UACGAAGGGGGCUAGCGUUGCUCGGAAUUACUGGGCGGAAAGGGCGCGUAGGCGGCCUUCUAAGUCGAACGUGAAAUCCCUGGGCUCAACCCAGGAACUGCGUCCGAUACUGAAAGGCUUGAAUCCGGGAGAGGGAUGCGGAAUUCCAGGUGUAGCGGUGAAAUGCGUAGAUAUCUGGAGGAACACCGGUGGCGAAGGCGGCAUCCUGGACCGGUAUUGACGCUGAGGCGCGAAAGCCAGGGGAGCAAACGGG
RNAcentral lists this ribosomal RNA (253 nucleotides) under uncultured bacterium. RNAcentral's name for it is "partial 16S ribosomal RNA". It matches the Rfam family "Bacterial small subunit ribosomal RNA", at positions 524 to 776 of the family's 1533-position model. The record is from RNAcentral.